This 253-nucleotide ribosomal RNA is filed under the name uncultured bacterium. RNAcentral's name for it is "partial 16S ribosomal RNA". It matches the Rfam family "Bacterial small subunit ribosomal RNA", at positions 524 to 776 of the family's 1533-position model. The record is from RNAcentral.
UACAGAGGGGGCAAGCGUUGUUCGGAAUUACUGGGCGUAAAGGGCGCGUAGGCGGCCGCCUAAGUCAGACGUGAAAUCCCUCGGCUCAACCGGGGAACUGCGUCUGAUACUGGGUGGCUUGAGUUCGGGAGAGGGAUGUGGAAUUCCCGGUGUAGCGGUGGAAUGCGUAGAGAUCGGGAAGAACAUCGGUGGCGAAGGCGGCCUGCUGGGCUCUUGCUGACACUGAGGCGCGACAGCGUGGGGAGCAAACAGG